CGUGUAGGCGGUCUCGCAAGUCAGGGGUGAAAUACACCGGCUUAACCGGUUGAACUGCCCUUGAAACUGCAAGACUUGAGUGCGGGAGAGGAGAGCGGAAUUCCCGGUGUAGCGGUGAAAUGCGUAGAUAUCGGGAAGAACACCGGUGGCGAAGGCGGCUCUCUGGCCCAGCACUGACGCUGAGGCGCGAAAGCCAGGGGAGCGAACG
RNAcentral lists this ribosomal RNA (208 nucleotides) under uncultured bacterium. Its description in RNAcentral is "partial 16S ribosomal RNA". It matches the Rfam family "Bacterial small subunit ribosomal RNA", at positions 568 to 774 of the family's 1533-position model. The record is from RNAcentral.